AAAAACAUUUUAACUUUGAUUUCUUUUAAAAAAAACCCUAAACUCUUUCUUCUCCCCCACUUUCCUCUUUCUUCCAGCCGCAAACAAGGCCAACACCAAGCCUUCAACUACCUCCGUGAUUGAUUGCGACGACCGGAGCAGGGCCUUCCCGUGAUGCGAGUGCGACAUAACUCCGGUAUCGUGGGAGAGUGCACGAUCGUGGGUCAUGGACGCGCGAGCUAGUGGUCGUGUGUGGGCGUAUUGACGUGAGUGGGGCGUUGAACGUGGGGGGCUGCGGCGCAAGGGGAAGAAAGGAACUGAGGGUUUCUGAAUUUGAGCCUUCUGUCACCAGGCUAUUUUAAUGUAAUUGUGCUGGGUUUUCUUUUUGGUUUUAUUAUUUGUAAAUAGACAUUUAAUAUUUUGUUUUAUUCUUUGGUUUUUGUAUGUGCAUGGGCCCGGGGUCUUACAUUAUAUAUAUAUUUACAAAGUAAGAA
Molecule: long non-coding RNA, 473 nt
Organism: Gossypium arboreum
Lineage: Eukaryota; Viridiplantae; Streptophyta; Magnoliopsida; Malvales; Malvaceae
Exons: 2
Source: RefSeq, a predicted model, not a curated record